CCAAUCACAGAGCACCUGCGGGCGCUCACCUCCCCCGCUCGCGGGGUGGGGUGGGGCGGUCCGCCGUUUACAGGAGCCGCCGGUGCAGGAGCCCUCGCGGGCCCCGGCCGAGCCGGCCCCUUUAACCCAUUGAACCCUCUGCCCUGAAGCAGCUUCGUAUGGGGACACCCCUGCGAUAGUAACUGAGACAACUCUCAACAACGGAUAUCUUGGCUCUCGCAACGAUGAAGAACGCAGCGAAAUGCGAUACGUAGUGUGAAUUGCAGAAUUCCGUGAGUCAUCGAAUCUUUGAACGCACAUUGCCGGUCGACUCUUCGGAGGAGACCACAUCUGCCUCAGCGUCGGAAUACCCCCUCACGCACUCCCGCGUGGACCUGGCCCCCCCGGACUCCCCGUCCGGGCUGGCUGAAAUGCAGAGGCUCGUGCGCGGCCCAUUCGUGGCCCCGACUAGGUAGGUAGCUCGCUACUGCUAGGCGGAGGCUCGGUGUCGCGUGCUUUGGGCCCCAAAGGAUACCCAUCCAUUCAUUCGACCUGAGUUCAGGUGAGGCUACCCGCUGAACUUAAGCAUAUCAAUAAGCGGAAGGAAA
RNAcentral lists this ribosomal RNA (587 nucleotides) under Ulva flexuosa. RNAcentral describes it as "eukaryotic LSU rRNA". The stretch from base 190 to 344 matches the Rfam family "5.8S ribosomal RNA". The record is from RNAcentral. Lineage: Eukaryota; Viridiplantae; Chlorophyta; Ulvophyceae; Ulvales; Ulvaceae.